Long non-coding RNA from Cydia splendana, 501 nucleotides. RefSeq lists it as uncharacterized. The transcript is spliced from 2 exons. NCBI's taxonomy places the organism in Eukaryota, Metazoa, Arthropoda, Insecta, Lepidoptera, Tortricidae. The record is from RefSeq and is a predicted model, not a curated record.
GUUGCCUUUAUCUUUUUAGGGUUCCGUAGCCAAAUGGCAAGAAACGGAACCCUUAUGGAUUCGUCAUGUCUGUCUGUCCGUCCGUAUGUCACAGCCACUUUUUUCCGAAACUAUAAGAACUAUACUGUUGAAACUUGGUAAGUAGAUGUAUUCUGUGAACCGCAUUAAGAUUUUCACACAAAAAUAGAAAAAAAAACAAUUAAUUUUGGGGAUUCCCCAUACUUAGAACUGAAACUCAAAAAUUAUUUUUUCAUCAAACCCAUACGUGUCUUCAAAAAUUAUAUUGAGGUUUCUAAUAUCAUUUUUUUCUAAACUGAAUAGUUUGCCCGAGAGACACUUCCAAAGUGGUAAAAUGUGUCCCCCCCCUGUAACUUCUAAAAUAAGAGAAUAAUAAAAAUAAAAUAAAUAUAUGAUGUACAUUACCAUGCAAACUUCCACCGAAAAUUGGAUUGAACGAGAUCUAGUAAGUAGUUUUUUUUUUAAUACGUCAUAAAUUGUAAA